RNAcentral lists this ribosomal RNA (484 nucleotides) under uncultured bacterium. RNAcentral's name for it is "partial 16S ribosomal RNA". It matches the Rfam family "Bacterial small subunit ribosomal RNA", at positions 30 to 507 of the family's 1533-position model. The record is from RNAcentral.
AUUGAACGCUGGCGGCAGGCCUAACACAUGCAAGUCGAGCGGAUGAAGGGAGCUUGCUCCUGGAUUCAGCGGCGGACGGGUGAGUAAUGCCUAGGAAUCUGCCUGGUAGUGGGGGAUAACGUCCGGAAACGGGCGCUAAUACCGCAUACGUCCUGAGGGAGAAAGUGGGGGGUUUUGGGACCUCACCUUAUCGGAGGGGCUUAGGUGGGAUUAGCUAGUUGGUGGGGUAAGGGCUUACCAAGGCGAGGAUCCGUAACUGGUCGGAGAGGAUGAUCAGCCACACUGGAACUGAGACACGGUCCAGACUCCUACGAGAGGCAGCAGUGGGGAAUAUUGGACAAUGGGCGAAAGCCUGAUCCAGCCAUGCCGCGUGUGUGAAGAAGGUCUUCGGAUUGUAAAGCACGUUAAGUUGGGAGGAAGGGCAGUAAGUUAAUACCUUGCUGUUUUGACGUUACCAACAGAAUAAGCACCGGCUAACUUCGUG